GAUGAACGCUGGCGGCGUGCCUAAUACAUGCAAGUCGAGCGAACGGACGAGAAGCUUGCUUCUCUGAUGUUAGCGGCGGACGGGUGAGUAACACGUGGACAACCUACCUAUAAGACUGGGAUAACUUCGGGAAACCGGAGCUAAUACCGGAUAAUAUUUUGAACCGCAUGGUUCAAAAGUGAAAGACGGUCUUGCUGUCACUUAUAGAUGGAUCCGCGCUGCAUUAGCUAGUUGGUAAGGUAACGGCUUACCAAGGCAACGAUGCAUAGCCGACCUGAGAGGGUGAUCGGCCACACUGGAACUGAGACACGGUCCAGACUCCUACGGGAGGCAGCAGUAGGGAAUCUUCCGCAAUGGGCGAAAGCCUGACGGAGCAACGCCGCGUGAGUGAUGAAGGUCUUCGGAUCGUAAAACUCUGUUAUUAGGGAAGAACAUAUGUGUAAGUAACUGUGCACAUCUUGACGGUACCUAAUCAGAAAGCCACGGCUAACUACGUGCCAGCAGCCGCGGUAAUACGUAGGUGGCAAGCGUUAUCCGGAAUUAUUGGGCGUAAAGCGCGCGUAGGCGGUUUUUUAGUCUGAUGUGAAAGCCCACGGCUCAACCGUGGAGGGUCAUUGGAAACUGGAAAACUUGAGUGCAGAAGAGGAAAGUGGAAUUCCAUGUGCAGCGGUGAAAUGCGCAGAGAUAUGGAGGAACACCAGUGGCGAAGGCGACUUUCUGGUCUGUAACUGACGCUGAUGUGCGAAAGCGUGGGGAUCAAACAGGAUUAGAUACCCUGGUAGUCCACGCCGUAAACGAUGAGUGCUAAGUGUUAGGGGGUUUCCGCCCCUUAGUGCUGCAGCUAACGCAUUAAGCACUCCGCCUGGGGAGUACGACCGCAAGGUUGAAACUCAAAGGAAUUGACGGGGACCCGCACAAGCGGUGGAGCAUGUGGUUUAAUUCGAAGCAACGCGAAGAACCUUACCAAAUCUUGACAUCCUUUGACAACUCUAGAGAUAGAGCCUUCCCCUUCGGGGGACAAAGUGACAGGUGGUGCAUGGUUGUCGUCAGCUCGUGUCGUGAGAUGUUGGGUUAAGUCCCGCAACGAGCGCAACCCUUAAGCUUAGUUGCCAUCAUUAAGUUGGGCACUCUAAGUUGACUGCCGGUGACAAACCGGAGGAAGGUGGGGAUGACGUCAAAUCAUCAUGCCCCUUAUGAUUUGGGCUACACACGUGCUACAAUGGACAAUACAAAGGGCAGCGAAACCGCGAGGUCAAGCAAAUCCCAUAAAGUUGUUCUCAGUUCGGAUUGUAGUCUGCAACUCGACUACAUGAAGCUGGAAUCGCUAGUAAUCGUAGAUCAGCAUGCUACGGUGAAUACGUUCCCGGGUCU
RNAcentral lists this ribosomal RNA (1371 nucleotides) under uncultured bacterium. RNAcentral's name for it is "bacterial SSU rRNA". It matches the Rfam family "Bacterial small subunit ribosomal RNA", at positions 28 to 1381 of the family's 1533-position model. The record is from RNAcentral.